Molecule: ribosomal RNA, 354 nt
Filed under: Hydropsyche sparna
Lineage: Eukaryota; Metazoa; Arthropoda; Insecta; Trichoptera; Hydropsychidae
Description: partial 28S ribosomal RNA
Rfam family: Eukaryotic large subunit ribosomal RNA
Source: RNAcentral
GACCCGUGUUGAACCACGGAGUCUAGCAUGCGCGCGAGUCAUUGGGAWUUYGUAAACCCAGAGGCGCAAUGAAAGUGAACAGCGCCGCUUCGGUGGCCGCAGGGAAGAUGGCGGCCGGUACGCCCGUCCGCCCGCAUUCCCGAGGCGUUUCGAGAAAUGCCCCCGUGCGAUUAUCGAGACGCACUGAGAGCGCGCACGCUGGGACCCGAAAGAUGGUGAACUAUGCCUGGUCAGGUCGAAGUCAGGGGAAACCCUGAUGGAGGACCGUAGCGAUUCUGACGUGCAAAUCGAUCGUCUGAACUGGGUAUAGGGGCGAAAGACUAAUCGAACUAUCUAGUAGCUGGUUCCUUCCGA